AGGGUAUUAUCUUAAUGGUAAAGAGAAGCAUUACGGCCGCUUUAAUAUAAGUUCGAAUCUUAUAUACCUUU
This is a non-coding RNA of Triticum urartu, 71 nucleotides long. Lineage: Eukaryota; Viridiplantae; Streptophyta; Magnoliopsida; Poales; Poaceae. The record is from Rfam.